ACGAACGCUGGCGGCGUGCUUAACACAUGCAAGUCGAGCGGUAAGGCCCUUUCGGGGUACGACGAGCGGCGAACGGGUGAGUAACACGUGGGUGACCUGCCCUCAGCUCUGGGAUAAGCCUGGGAAACCGGGUCUAAUACCGGAUAUGACUCCAUGACGCAUGUUGUGGGGUGGAAAGCCUUGUGCGGCUGAGGAUGGGCCCGCGGCCUAUCAGCUUGUUGGUGGGGUGAUGGCCUACCAAGGCGACGACGGGUAGCCGGCCUGAGAGGGCGACCGGCCACACUGGGACUGAGACACGGCCCAGACUCCUACGGGAGGCAGCAGUGGGGAAUCUUGCGCAAUGGGCGAAAGCCUGACGCAGCGACGCCGCGUGAGGAUGACGG
Molecule: ribosomal RNA, 383 nt
Filed under: uncultured bacterium
Lineage: Bacteria
Description: bacterial SSU rRNA
Rfam family: Bacterial small subunit ribosomal RNA
Source: RNAcentral